RNAcentral lists this ribosomal RNA (765 nucleotides) under Planomicrobium sp. RNAcentral's name for it is "bacterial SSU rRNA". It matches the Rfam family "Bacterial small subunit ribosomal RNA", at positions 67 to 817 of the family's 1533-position model. Lineage: Bacteria; Bacillati; Bacillota; Bacilli; Caryophanales; Caryophanaceae. The record is from RNAcentral.
CGGAACUUCGGGAGCUUGCUCCCGGGGUUUAGCGGCGGACGGGUGAGUAACACGUGGGCAACCUGCCCUGCAGAUCGGGAUAACUCCGGGAAACCGGUGCUAAUACCGAAUAGUUUUGGGUCCCUCCUGGGACCCGACGGAAAGACGGUUUCGGCUGUCACUGCAGGAUGGGCCCGCGGCGCAUUAGCUAGUUGGUGGGGUAACGGCCCACCAAGGCGACGAUGCGUAGCCGACCUGAGAGGGUGAUCGGCCACACUGGGACUGAGACACGGCCCAGACUCCUACGGGAGGCAGCAGUAGGGAAUCUUCCGCAAUGGACGCAAGUCUGACGGAGCAACGCCGCGUGAGUGACGAAGGUUUUCGGAUCGUAAAACUCUGUUGCGAGGGAAGAAACCGCACCACCUAACUAGUGGUGCCUUGACGGUACCUCGCCAGAAAGCCACGGCUAACUACGUGCCAGCAGCCGCGGUAAUACGUAGGUGGCAAGCGUUGUCCGGAAUUAUUGGGCGUAAAGCGCGCGCAGGCGGUCCUUUAAGUCUGAUGUGAAAGCCCACGGCUCAACCGUGGAGGGUCAUUGGAAACUGGAGGACUUGAGUGCAGAAGAGGAAAGUGGAAUUCCACGUGUAGCGGUGAAAUGCGUAGAGAUGUGGAGGAACACCAGUGGCGAAGGCGACUUUCUGGUCUGUAACUGACGCUGAGGCGCGAAAGCGUGGGAGCAAACAGGAUUAGAUACCCUGGUAGUCCACGCCGUAAACGAUGAGUGCU